ACAGUGCAUCAUGGGAUAUGUAGUUGCUAAAAAUACAUUUCCUUUCAUGUGCUGUGU
This 57-nucleotide microRNA precursor is filed under the name Python bivittatus (Burmese python). RNAcentral's name for it is "Pbv-Mir-9650_pre stem-loop". Lineage: Eukaryota; Metazoa; Chordata; Lepidosauria; Squamata; Pythonidae. The record is from RNAcentral.